CUUACUCUAUGUGUCACAUGGUGAAAUGGCAUACCCUUGACGGAUGUCAGUGUUGGGUCUUCUUAACUACUUAUCCUCUCUGAAUUGCAUGCAAACAAUGAGUUUCAGUCUAGCUGAUUGUUAUGCCUGAAUUGAGCAGAGAAAACUCCAGGCCCAUGUCAUAGCUAAACUAUGUAAAUAUGGUCUGAACUGAAGGGAUAUGCUCACAUCCGCCAUCUCUUGGCAAAAUGGAAUAUCUGAAUUUUGAGUAUACUGAAUUCAAUUCAGCAAAUGUAUCUCCCUGCUUUGCCAUGCAGCCUGCUGUCCUAGACACUUCAAGGGCUUAGAAAAUGAGCCACAUUCUCUGUCUGUAAACAGACGUUUGUGACAUCACACAUGUUACAUGCUCACAGCAGCUUGCCCGUUUUCUGGCUUGAACUUUUAUCACAUCAAAAAGACCAAUGCCUGGCCUUUUCUAGACAGAUAAACAACUCUGUACCUGGAACAAAAAGACAAACCUACCAGCUCCAUAGUUGCCUAACACUCCUCAGAGAGGAACCAAGUGGGCCCUGCCUGGAUGCUAAUGGCAAGUUUGGCUCUUGGGAGCUGAAACUAAAAGGGACAAUGUAUUGUGCUCACAGGUACUAUACACAGGAGGAGCCUGAAGCUGACUAUGAGCCAAGUCUGUAGAGAGCACCCAAAGUCAAGAUUCCUUUAAGUCUCUCAGUCUUCAAAACCAAAGGUGAAGCGUGGAACUGGAUCCGGAUGACAAAGCAGAAAGACAAGAACAUCCAAUAAUGAUGGCAAGUUGCAGCAGACACAGCCCCUGCCUGCACUCUGCCUGACCUCACCAGCACUUGGGCACCACAUCACCCAGGAAUACUACUCAGCUUGAUUGCAUACUCCUCAAACCCCUUUCCACAUAACCUGGUCAUUCAGAUUACCUGGGGCAUCAUCAGAAAACUACUUUAUCAGAGUAGUUCAUGAGAGAGGCUAAAAGUGAAGCUGGCAGAAGCUUAUUGACUUGUCCAAGUCAUAAGCUACUGGUAUCCAUUGCUGAAGAAAAAUUAUUCUGACUCUUGUUUAAAAUGGCAAGGAAGAGUUUAUGCAGGACUCUUGCAAGAGGGAGAAAGAUUGAGCUCAACGCUGAAUACAGCAAAGACAGGAAUUUACAGCCAGAGUGAGAGGAUCAGUAGAUGGAAAAUUCCUAAGAGGAGGUAUCAAGGGUAGGGGAAUUCUUGCUAAACUGGCUUAGCAGGAAUUUUGCUAAAGAAAGGUCAAGGUGGAGGCCUACUCAAGAAGAAGUUCGGAAAAGCCUGACUAAAGUUUGGUCGAAGGAGUCUUCAUCAUUGAGGGCUCUGUUUUCUAUUUUGUUUUGCUUUUUUCUUCCAACCAGUAUCUUCUGCCCCUAAGAGUUUGUACUGGUUAAUUGACAAAACCAGUCUUUGGUAGGGAGAGAAAAAAUAGUAAGAUAUGGCAGAGUUUAAAAUAGUUUCAUGGACUUAAGAAGAUUUUCUAACAAUUAAAACUGACAAGAAAAAUGUUUUCUGACUUCUAAAAUAUUUAUAAGAAAACAAAAGCAUGCUUCCCAUGAAAUGGUUAAAAAGACGUUUUUGAAAUGAUUGUCCUUACAAAUCUGUCAGAAAAUUAUACAAGUUUUGACCUCCGUCCAUCCACUUCCUACUCAAACAAAAAACAUGAAAUGAUGCCUCUGCUAAAAAUGGUCAAGCUUUACUUUCAUCCCUCCUCUCUCAAAUUUAAAAACAAAUUGCAAGAGGCUGAAGAAAACAUAUUAUUUUGAAAGUGUAGUUCAUUUCUCAAAGAUGUUAUUAUUUCCCUCAACAUACAGUAUGAGGUUUCGUGGGGUAGUCCAUGUAAUUUUUACAGCUAAGCAUAUGGUCUGAGGACAAAACAGUCAUGGUCCAUAGAAAGCCUGGAGACUUAACUCACAGCAUCCACUGCUUCACUGAAGUGGGCUGACAUUGAUUUCCUUAUAUAUCUGGGAAAGUUUAUGAAAGACUCUCUGUGAUAAGCAAAGCUACCAGACAGCUUGCAGUCUCUCUCCCCUCCCAUUGUGAGGACACAGCAAGAAGGCAGCCAUCUACAAGCCAGGAAGGGAAGCCUCAUGGAACCCAACCAUGCUGACACCUUGAUCUUGGACUUCCAGCCUCCAGACGGUAACCGCUCCCUGGCGCAGACACACCUGGUGGGAUGAGAUGGGACGGCGCCUUCCUUAUCUACUCACUUGGUAGAGCUAGUUCACCCUCUGCCCCUGGAUGGAAACGGAAAUGUUUGGUCAUUACAGUUACUGUUAGUCAUUAAAUAGUCUCACUUCAGUUAAAAUGGUCAGUUUCGGAUAGUAACCAAAAUUCAAACCAUGAUUAAAAGUUGAUGCCUCUCCUUGCCUCUGGA
RNAcentral lists this long non-coding RNA (2391 nucleotides) under Equus caballus (horse). Its description in RNAcentral is "lncRNA (ENSECAG00000055962.1)". Lineage: Eukaryota; Metazoa; Chordata; Mammalia; Perissodactyla; Equidae. The record is from RNAcentral.